UGCGGCGUAUCAGGUUGUAGGGGGUGUAACGUACCCUCUAGCCCUCUACGCGUACGGGUGUUGGGAGACAUAGCCCGGAGAUGGAUUCUGAGACAUGAAUCCAGACCCUACGGGGUGCAGCAGGCGCGAAAACUUGGCAAUGCGAGAAAUCGUGACCAGGGAACUCCAAGUGCAUCGGGUAAGACCGGUGCUUUUCUUGACUCUAAAUAGGUCUUGGAAUAAGGGGUGGGUAAGGACGGUGCCAGCCGCCGCGGUAAUACCGGCGCCUCAAGUGGUAGUCGCUUUUAUUGGGCCUAAAACGUCCGUAGCCGGUCUGAUACAUUCGUGGGUAAAUCAACCAGCUCAACUGGUUGAAUUCUGCGAGGACGGUCAGACUUGGGACCGGGAGAGGUGUGGGGUACGCUCAGGGUAGGGGUAAAAUCCUGUCAUCCUGAGCGGACCACCUGUUGCGAAGGCGCCACACUAGAACGGAUCCGACGGUCAGGGACGAAGCCUAGGGGCACGAACCGGAUUAGAUACCCGGGUAGUCCUAGGUGUAAACGCUGUGGACUUGAUGUUGGGGGUGCUCCGAGCACUCUCAGUGUCGAAGCGAAGGUGAUAAGUCCACUGCCUGGGAAGUACGGUCGCAAGGCUGAAACUUAAAGGAAUUGGCGGGGGAGCACCGCAACCUGAGGAUUGUGCGGUUUAAUUGGACUCAAC
Molecule: ribosomal RNA, 699 nt
Filed under: uncultured Candidatus Poseidoniales archaeon
Lineage: Archaea; Methanobacteriati; Thermoplasmatota; Candidatus Poseidoniia; Candidatus Poseidoniales
Description: bacterial SSU rRNA
Rfam family: Archaeal small subunit ribosomal RNA
Source: RNAcentral